RNAcentral lists this ribosomal RNA (1482 nucleotides) under Triticum aestivum (bread wheat). RNAcentral's name for it is "partial small subunit ribosomal RNA". Lineage: Eukaryota; Viridiplantae; Streptophyta; Magnoliopsida; Poales; Poaceae. The record is from RNAcentral.
AUGUUCGAGCAGCGCUUGAAGAAUGCCAUCAAGCAGGCGGAGGAUGCGGCCGGAAAGAUGAUCCUCUUCAUAGACCAGAUGCACAUGAUUGUUGGUGCUGGUGACGAGGGCCGCACUGUGGACGCUGCCAACAUCCUCAAGCCGGCGUUGGCCCGUGGUCGCAUCCGUUGCAUAGGUGCUACCACAUCGAAAGAGUACCGGAGAUACAUAGAAAGGGAUGCGGCGCUCGAGCGAUGGUUCCAAAGGGUUGACGUCGAUGAGCCGAGCGUGCAGGCGACCGUUGCCAUCCUGCAGGGGCUGAAGAAGCGGUACCAAGACCACCAUGGCCUGAUAAUCCAGGACGAUGCUCUUGUUGCUGCUGCCCAGCUCGCUGGCCGUUAUAUUAAAGGCCGCCAGUUUCCUGAUAAAGCAAUUGACCUCAUGGACGAGGCAUGCACUGUUGUGAAGUUGCAUAAACCAAAAAAGGUGAAAAAUAAGAAAACUAGCACUAUAAAUGCGGUGGAGGAGAAAACCGUUGGUCCAUGUCAUAUUGCACAGGUUGUCGGCCGAUGGACUAAAAUUCCGAUCACUGCACUUGGCCGAGAGGAGAAGUUCAGCCACCUAGUAGACAGAUCGCAUGAGAGAGUCAUUGGACAAUAUGAAGCGGUUAAUUUGGUUGCGCAAGAAGUUCUACGUUCCAAGGUCGGCUUUGACGAAUCUGGCAAACCAAUUGGUGCGUUCCUCUUUUUGGGUCCGAUUGGUGUUGGAAAGACAGAGCUUGCAAAAGCACUCGCGGAGAAGCUUUUUGACAACGAAAAGACGUUAGUCCGCUUUGACAUGUCGGAAUAUGCUGAUAGUGGAUCCGUGUCGCGUCUCGUUGGAGGACCUGGAAGGUAUGGACAACUUAUCGAGAAAGUCAGGAGCCAACCAUAUAGUGUCGUUCUUCUUGACGAGGUGGAUAAGGCACAUCCCUCAAUUUUCAAGGUUCUCAUUCAACUCCUCAAUGAUGGUACGUUGAUUGAUGGAAAGGGUCGGAACAUAUAUUUCAAGGACACUAUCAUAGUUAUGAGCUCUAGUCUUCGAGCAGAGAACCUGUCAGCUGGAACGGCUAGAGAAAACAUAGCAACUGCACGGGAUCUUCUUAUGAAACAGGUUGAGAAACGCCUUAAGCCUGAUUUUAUCAACAAACUGAGUGAAAUUGUGAUAUUUGAGCCACUUUCUCAUGACGAACCGAGGGAGAUCGUGAAAAUCCAGAUGAAGAGUGUCGUUGCUAUGGCAGCUAAGAAAGGCAUCUCUCUGUUUGCAACAGAUGCCGCCUUGGACAUCAUUUGGUCAGAAUCUCACGAUACGGUGUAUGGUGCAAGGCCUAUUAAAAGGUGGGUGAAGAAGAAUGUGACCAGAGUUCUUAUGGACAUGCUGGUCAAUAGAGAAGCAUGUCAAGGCUCGACCAUCUCCAUUGAUGCCGCUGACGAUAAGAAGGGGCUGAAGUACGACGUAUACUAG